CGAUGAUGGGUAGCCGGCCUGAGAGGGUGAACGGCCACAAGGGGACUGAGACCCGGCCCUUACUCCUACGGGAGGCAGCAGUGGGGAAUAUUGGACAAUGGACCAAAGUCUGAUCCAGCAAUUCUGUGUGCACGAUGAAGUUUUUCGGAAUGUAAAGUGCUUUCAGUUGGGAAGAAGAAAGUGACGGUACCAACAGAAGAAGCGACGGCUAAAUACGUGCCAGCAGCCGCGGUAAUACGUAUGUCGCAAGCGUUAUCCGGAUUUAUUGGGCGUAAAGCGCGUCUAGGCGGUUUGGUAAGUCUGAUGUGAAAAUGCGGGGCUCAACUCCGUAUUGCGUUGGAAACUGCCAAACUAGAGUACUGGAGAGGUAGGCGGAACUACAAGUGUAGAGGUGAAAUUCGUAGAUAUUUGUAGGAAUGCCGAUGGGGAA
This 430-nucleotide ribosomal RNA is filed under the name uncultured bacterium. RNAcentral's name for it is "bacterial SSU rRNA". It matches the Rfam family "Bacterial small subunit ribosomal RNA", at positions 274 to 719 of the family's 1533-position model. The record is from RNAcentral.